Molecule: transfer RNA, 90 nt
Filed under: Rickettsiales bacterium
Lineage: Bacteria; Pseudomonadati; Pseudomonadota; Alphaproteobacteria; Rickettsiales
Description: tRNA-Ser
Rfam family: tRNA
About the family: Transfer RNA (tRNA) molecules are approximately 80 nucleotides in length. Their secondary structure includes four short double-helical elements and three loops (D, anti-codon, and T loops). Further hydrogen bonds mediate the characteristic L-shaped molecular structure. tRNAs have two regions of fundamental functional importance: the anti-codon, which is responsible for specific mRNA codon recognition, and the 3' end, to which the tRNAs corresponding amino acid is attached (by aminoacyl-tRNA synthetases). tRNAs cope with the degeneracy of the genetic code in two manners: having more than one tRNA (with a specific anti-codon) for a particular amino acid; and 'wobble' base-pairing, i.e. permitting non-standard base-pairing at the 3rd anti-codon position.
Source: RNAcentral
GGAUGUGUGGCAGAGUGGUUGAUUGCAACGGUCUUGAAAACCGUCAUACCAGCAAUGGUAUCACAGGUUCGAAUCCUGUCACAUCCGCCA